Molecule: ribosomal RNA, 309 nt
Filed under: uncultured soil bacterium
Lineage: Bacteria
Description: bacterial SSU rRNA
Rfam family: Bacterial small subunit ribosomal RNA
Source: RNAcentral
AGAACGAACGCUGGCGGCAUGCCUAAUACUUGCAAGUCGAACGAACUCUUCGGAGUUAGUGGCGCACGGGUGCGUAACGCGUGGGAAUCUGCCCCUUGGUUCGGAAUAACAGUUGGAAACGACUGCUAAUACCGGAUGAUGACGAAAGUCCAAAGAUUUAUCGCCAAGGGAUGAGCCCGCGUAGGAUUAGCUAGUUGGUGAGGUAAAGGCUCACCAAGGCAACGAUCCUUAGCUGGUCUGAGAGGAUGAUCAGCCACACUGGGACUGAGACACGGCCCAGACUCCUACGGGAGGCAGCAGUAGGGAAUA